AUUCAUAUUCUGUUUAGGUUAUAAAAAGACAAUUUGAAGGAGUACAAUCCAAGAGAUGAAGCACCAAUUCCAUGAAAUGAUACUGGUUGGCACAGGAAUAAGGAUCUUAAAGCUUUAAAGAAUUUAAUAUCACAAGAAAUUCAAGUUACAGAAAUUUUCUGUAUUAACAUACAGUACUUCAUGAAUAAAUAUCUUAAGCAAAUUGAUAUGAGAAGUGGGGUUUAACCUGGUUUUAUUUGGGAGUUGCAGUGACAUUUCGAAGGAUCAAAGGAAAUCUCCAGUUUGCUCAUCAAGAAACUAUAAAUUCGAUUAUAUAUAAACAAUGUAAGUCAUUCACAUGAUCAGAUGGUUUUACAGGAUGGUUUUAAGAAUUUGGGGAGACUGUGAUGGGUUAAGAUAGAGGAGGAAAGGGAGUUAAAGGGCAUAGUGCAAUAAAAUAAAUGAGAAUGGUUAAUAGGUAAUAUUGCACCACUUGGUACUGGAAAACUUCCAAAAGGUAGCAAGCUCGCUUCAGGAUCUCUUCAAAAACUCAUCUUGCACCCGAUUCGUAAAUGUUUCCUUAUUCACUUUUUUUAGAGUAAAAAUGCUUCACUGCAUCUGCACCUAUAUCCACUCCCACAACUGGACAUGCUUUUGGUAGUUAAGUUGCAGCCUCCAUAUUAUUUAGCUGCCACAAG
Molecule: long non-coding RNA, 677 nt
Filed under: Phoenix dactylifera (date palm)
Lineage: Eukaryota; Viridiplantae; Streptophyta; Magnoliopsida; Arecales; Arecaceae
Description: long non-coding RNA (PDAC_LNC019534)
Source: RNAcentral